This 359-nucleotide ribosomal RNA is filed under the name uncultured bacterium. RNAcentral describes it as "bacterial SSU rRNA". It matches the Rfam family "Bacterial small subunit ribosomal RNA", at positions 28 to 376 of the family's 1533-position model. The record is from RNAcentral.
GAUGAACGCUAGCUACAGGCUUAACACAUGCAAGUCGAGGGGAAACGAUAUUGGAAGCUUGCUUCCGAUAGGUGUCGACCGGCGCACGGGUGAGUAACGCGUAUCCAACCUGCCCGUCACUUGGGAAUAACCUUGCGAAAGUAAGACUAAUGCCCAAUGACAUUUAUAGAAGGCAUCGGAAAUGAAUUAAAGAUUUAUCGGUGAUGGAUGGGGAUGCGUCUGAUUAGCUUGUUGGCGGGUAACGGCCCACCAAGGCAACGAUCGAGUAGGGGUUCUGAGAGGAAGGUCCCCCACAUUGGAACUGAGACACGGUCCAAACUCCUACGGGAGGCAGCAGUGAGGAAUAUUGGUCAAUGGGC